Non-coding RNA from Cinara cedri, 543 nucleotides. The record is from the annotation of a GenBank genome assembly. Lineage: Eukaryota; Metazoa; Arthropoda; Insecta; Hemiptera; Aphididae.
AAUUUAUAAAUUUUACAAUUUAAUUCGGUCAGCAAACAAUUUUUUAAAUGAGCUGCGUAAUACGUAUCGCUAGUUAAAAAUCUAUGUCAGAGAUCAGCUAAACUAUCUGUUUAUCGUUAAAUAAAGUAAAAUUCAGACUUUAAAUAUUGAAUAGGGACAAUAUCCAUUCGUUUAUACUCGGUAUUUAUGUAGUCAUUAAUCUUGAAAUAUAAAUUGAAUUCCCUAAAAACUCAAAAUAUGCCUGCAUUAAUUUCCUAAAAAUCAAAAUUUGUAUACAUGUAUUAUACAUAGAUGCACUAAAAAAUUAUUCUGACUUCUCACCCUCCUCCUCCCCCCAUCAAAAUAUCAAUUAAUUCCAAUAAUAUUCUACAAGAUUCUAAAAAAAAAUAUUGCGCGUAAAUUAAAAACAAUGAAAUCGGUAACGUCUCGGUAAGCCGUUAAAAAAGGUUAUUUGCCGUUUUUCCUAUAUUUUGUUUCCGGUUAUUCCCAAUUAUUUUGAAAACCCCUUAAAAACUCAAAAAAUGAUUUCUCAAAUACACCAAC